Molecule: long non-coding RNA, 4953 nt
Organism: Leopardus geoffroyi (Geoffroy's cat)
Lineage: Eukaryota; Metazoa; Chordata; Mammalia; Carnivora; Felidae
Exons: 3
Source: RefSeq, a predicted model, not a curated record
CACCAUUCUUGAGGGCAGAAUCUGAAAAAUAAGGUGCCAGCAGGACCAUACUCUCUCCAAAGGCUCUGGAGGGAGAAUCAGUGUUUCUUACAGAUUCCGGUGGCUCUGGAUAUUUCUUGGCCUGUGACUAUAUAAUCCCAUCUUGGUCUUUGUCCUCAUACAGACUUCUUCUCUUUUCCCUGUGUCUUCCCUCCUGGUAUCUCUCAUAAGAUACUUGUUACUGGAUUUAAGGUCCACCUGCGUAAUCUAGGGUGAUCUCAAGAUCCUUAACUUUGUAACAUCUGCAAAAACUCUUUUUCAAUUAAAGUCACAUCGAUAGGUUCUGGGGGUUAUAAUGUGGACAUAUUUUGGGGGGGCAUUAUUAACCUUGCGGUUAGAUAUGAGGAAACUGGGGUUCAAUCCAGGGAGGUAAUUUGCCCAUAGCCACUCAACUGGUGGGUGGCAGGGCCAGCCUAGGACUCACCCUGAGGGCUGCAUUGUGCUCUAUGUGCUACAGAACAUUGUGGGAUGUCAGGGAAGGGACCAGGCAGAUGUAGGACCGUCCCUAACAAUCCAGCUUGGAAGGCCUUGCUUCAGGUACAGAGGGUGUUCAAUGUCAGUUAUUGAGAUGGUUAUUGAUUUUGAGGCUUUGACCUGAGCUUCUCCGGGGUGGCAAACUGAUGUGUCUGCCUCUGUAUCCCUAGCACAGUGCUGAAAAUGUUGGAUACAUGAAAUUGAAUGCCUGUGAUAAGAUACUGUGCUCAUAUGUCUGUGUACCUUUAUAGUGUCUACCAUGUGUGGUUAGUGGUGGUGCAUAGACACUAUGGAAAAGGCUGUGUGGGACCAGAGCUCGCUCCAACAGGCCCAAUUCUUGCCUUACCCACAGUCUACUCAAGGGACUUCAGAUCGGCCACUCUGCCUUGCUUUCCAAAUAUGUCAGGUGAGGUUAGUAAUACUCUUCCUACAGAUCUCACUGGAUGUUUCUGUGUUUUUGUUGACUGGGGAGUCAGUGCGGGGGGCUUCUGUCUGAAGUCAGGAGGAAGUAAAAGAUAAAAUUUCCAAGCCCCUUCCAGCCCUAGGGUUUUAGGAAAAAAUUUAAUCAUGUUUUACACCACCAGAUGUAAGCACAUAUUGAAACUGCGGGGGCAACAUGAAAUUGAGGACAAUCAUGCUCUUUCACUUAGAUGAGAGCAAGACGCACUCCGCUUAAACUGUGAUUAGAAGGAUGGAGGUCAGACAGAAAUCCCUUUGUGAUGUCAGGGGAUCUGUUUCAUGGGAACAGGGCCUGAGGCCGACUUCUCAGGGGGGCCGUUUGGGAGCUGGGAGGACUGUGGUGUGCAGAGGCAGGAGUUAAGGGUGACGAAACAUUUUGACAUAAGGAGAACUUUCCAGAAGUUAAGGCUGAGAAACCUUGCGGUGGGUGGUUGGGAAUUGAGACGGUCCCAGAAUCAGCAAAACUAAGGCCAGAUCCUUAAUGCUCUUCCAUUGAUUUGGAGGUCUUUCUGUCUGGUAGGGGGAUGGGAGGCCUCCUAGAGAUCCAGCUUGUUUAGAGCUUGGACUUUGGAGUCAGGCAGACUGGGUUAAUUGCCUCCAUUGUCAUGUACCAGUUGUUGACCUUGUAUGAGUUCCUUAACCUUCCCAGAUUCCUUGUGGUAUGGGUACGCCCCCCCUCCAGAGCUUAAGUGUGAGCAUUAGAUGAGUCAGGGCAGGCGACACACCUAGCACUGUGCUUGGCACACAGUAAGCAUCAAGAGGCUCUGACAUAGACAUGUGAAACCCUGUCCUCCUUGGACAAGCUCCAGGUUGGGGCAGGAGAGCCCCUGUGCUGUUGGAUGACAAAUGCUUUCUGUGUUUCAAAAUGAAGGCAGAUUGAAACUUGAUAUUUUUUUGAUCAAAAACCUUAAGGCAAGGCUUGGUGGAGCACCGAAAGUCCUGUUUUCUGUGACUGGGGGUCUCCGGCAGGAUGUUGGAAUGUCUCUGCUCCCCCUGACGUCCUUCUGCUGCUUUGGUGACUGCCCACAGACAGACCAGCUCCCAGUCAUCUGAAACACCACUCAGAAGGCAGGAAUUUGCAAUCCGUUCCAAGCUGGAAGUGACUUUCAUGUGAUGGGGCCGCACUGCUCUGUGACUCUGUAACCAAUUCUCCCCACGCUGGCAGCUCUCCAGAUGCCUGGGAUGUGAUCAGUUGACCAAACAAAACGGCAGGUCCGUCCAGGAGAACGCUGUGUCUGGCUUCGGGAGCAAAAGCUCCCAGCACGUGCAAAACUCAGGCCCCAAGUUUCUUCAUGUUUUUCCCUGUUCUUUUCAGGCAGCUCUUUUUAGGUAAGAAAUCUACAACCUUCAACUUUGAAAGUCAAGUUAAGUUUAGGUAAAACAAAUCAGUGCUGGAAUCAGUGAUUGAAGAGGUCACCGUAGGUGGCAAACAUCCAUUUUUGUUCAACCGAAGUAAACAGAAAUGAACGGAAUUGCCUUCCACACAUUUUUGUGAGUAUGCUGGGGACGUUCAUCACCCCCAAGGUGGCCUUAUAGAAGGAAGAUUGGCCUGGGGAUCCCAACACUGGCUUCUGGCACUAGCUGGGCUCCUGACUCCCUCUGAAACUCAGAGCCGACCUCCUAACUUCUCAGGAAGUCAGUUUCCCUAUUUCUAAAAUUAGUUGGCUUCCAACUUUCCUUCCCUGUUUAAAAUUCUUUGAUGUGUUUUCGAACGCUAGAUAAAUUCUCUGUUGAUAGAUCCGUAGAAAAAUUUGUAAGGAUCUCUUAUGUUUGUAUAGCGCUUUAUUGUUUUAUUUGUUGUCCAGAAGCUUCUGAGCUUGGCAGGGCGGAUUGGGUUACCCUAGCACAUGGAUGAGGAAACUGAGGUCCAGAUAAAUUGAGUUCCUGGCUUGGCCAUGGCUUUUUGGUGGGUGAACGGAGGUGGGGAGGACAAAGCCCAGAUCUCCUGGUGUCUAGUCCAGAAUUCGUCUCCAAUCUUGACACGUGCGAUUGUUGAUGGAGCAAGAAACCAUAUCCAACCCCGGCUCUCUCCAUCAGAGGCAAAAUCCCACCCAACGUGUCCUUCUGCGUAAUGGCCAUCGGCCACUUCAGGUGGCUCUUCUUGGGUACUCAUUUGGAGUUCAGUUUAUGAUAAAAUGCGCUACAUGUUACAAAUGCAGAUUUCAAGGUGAAUCUUACAGUCAGGCAUGCAAAGUCAGCACAGGUUUCGUAGGAGUUUAGGUUGGAAACAAGGUUGCCGGAUUAACUGGCUGCUCAUUUACCUUCGCUUUUGCAUCUUUAAAACAGCUGGCGCAAUAUCUAAUAUUUACGAUACUCGGUACAUUAAUUCUCGUGCUCUCUCCAUGUUAUCUUGAUAAUUUGUAAUGGAAUUUGGGCGUUCAUUACAAUUAUGUAGGGACACUGAAUGAUAGAAUGGUUGUAAUGUAUUGCUAUGGGAAACAAAUGAAACAAAGUGGUGUGUUUUGUCUUUACUCAUUUUUGUAUAGAAAUAUGAAAUCAGGUAUGUAACGAAGAGAGGAUUCUCACAUGGGUUAAUAGUAGUUUUCGUAUAGGUGGUGGGACCAUCAGUGCAUUUUACUUUUUUUUUUUUUUUUUUUUUGCUUUUCUGCUUUUCCGUGUGUAAAUUGACCAUAUCUUAAUGCGGUAAUCAGUUUAAAAGUUUCUUCCUUUGAAGGUGUACGGGUGAUGAUUUUAUCUGAUUGGGAGAAAAAAUUGGACAACCAGUUUACUUCCAGGUGGUUGUUGAAGAAGACUGAUUCCCAAAUAUUUUCAACACAGACACAAAUUGUGCCAUCGGCAGUAAUUGCUAAUUGACCCUCUUUCUGUUCAAUUAAGACAGCCACUCUCAGCUGCUGUGGGUCCGCGGGAUUGAGGAUGCGGCAGCCAAGCGCAGUUGGGGCCCGGGCUUCACAUCUGCUGCCUGCCUUUGCCAAACAGCUGUGUUCUGAGCCAGCAGCGUGAUGAUGCUCACCUGCAGGAAAUGUGGGUCGUGGAGUUGGUCUGCAGGCCUCGGGGGAUAAAGAGCGGACGGUUCCACUCCGACAGGUCUGUGGGCUGACUGUGCGAGAGGCCGUGUGGGCCCUCAGGAGUCUAGGGCUUUAUGGUAAAUGGAGGCAGGUAUAAACCUGGCUUCCUUGGCUACUCCCUCUGACCGUGAUGCGGGGGAAGUUCUUCAUCUCUCCAAACCUCCCUUUCCUCCAUCUGCAGAAUGGAAAGAAUAUGGCUGUUUAUUCUACAUGGUUGUAUUAAGGAUUAAAGAAGAUGAGUGGCAAGAACAUCAUCUUUGUGCCAGGUGGACUUGGCUUGAACCAGAUCUGCAUGACUUUGGACAGCUUCUUGCCUGCCAUCAGCCCCUGUUUCUCCAGUUUAUAAAAUAUAAGCAAUAUUGCCAAUCUUUUUAAAGUUGGACUAUUAAGAGAGGUUAAGAGAGAUUAACUGAAAUCAUGUGCGUAAGUUUUCAUGGCAGAGUGCUUGGGGUCUGUGAAGUGUAAGCGAGAUGUGAAAGGCUCCUAGUUGGGUAUAAGGUGCUGAUGAUUCAGGUUAUCAGCAGCAGUGAUUAGGAAUGAUAUUGCCAAAUGGAUAGUGACAUCAGCAGCACUAUUAAGAAUAUUUCUGUGUUUUUAUUGCGGCAAAUUAGUGAAAUCCUGUUAAGCACAAAAUAUUGUGAAAACAAGAACUGCAUGUUUUACAAAUCUUUUGGUACUCUUAAAUGAAGGUGCUUUAUACAACACUGGUUGAAAGUUUGUUGAAGAUUUAUUAUAACACAAGAGUAUAACACGUAGACCCACAAUUGUGUAGCGAAUGACUCACAUGAGAAUGUAAUGAUUGGUGGUUAAAUGCUACCUGAAGACAGAAGAUCUGAUUACAUCCCAAGCACCUGUAUCACAGAUGAUCUUAUACAGUCUCCUGGCACUUUUGGGUAUGUUACACCAUUCCUUACAGCCACAUUUUGCAAAAGAAUAAAAGAUAUAUAUGAUCCUC